Molecule: long non-coding RNA, 1955 nt
Filed under: Callithrix jacchus (white-tufted-ear marmoset)
Lineage: Eukaryota; Metazoa; Chordata; Mammalia; Primates; Cebidae
Description: lncRNA (ENSCJAG00000070940.1)
Source: RNAcentral
AUGAGGAUCACAUACAUCACAUAUUUAUGGGCCAAAGGCACAGUGUUAAGUGUUAAGACUAUCCGAAGAUGUAAAGGUACAAUUCUCACUGCCAAAGAACUUUUCUUCUGCAAGGUAAGUAGGAUUCACAAGGACAAUCAGUUGGAGAAAUACCAUGGGGCAAAUAGACCAGGAUUCAGUGCAGGCUUCAUGGGGACAUAAUUCCCAAAUUAAAGGAUAUAAGAAACUUCAGUGUAGCCAAGAUAAAUAAGAGAAUUAUGCACCCAGAGAAGAGACCAUAAGAGAACACAGUGCAUUUAUAUAACAGCAGAUUGUUCUUUAUGAAGAGAAAUGGUGGGUGGUAAGUUGAACGUGGACAGAGAGAGACUAGAAUGUGAAGGGCCUCACCUGUUUUGUGUGUUAAAAUAGGAGCAAUUAUAUUUAUUGCAGUUAAAACCUGGAUUAUUUCUCUGUGUACAUAGUGCAAGGCGAUUUGCCAAGCUUUUGCUGGCUGUUCCCGACUUCACCGUUUUCUUUAUAGAUGCAGAGAGAAUCUAGGCAAGUGUAAAUGUUGCCAAGUCACGUGAGAGAAGGCAACCACUAGGUGACAGAGCUGUACCAUGUUCUGUGGUCGGGACCAAAAAGCUUAUCUCUUGACACCAUCAUCCUCUUACUCAGAGUAAGUUGGCUGCAGAAUGGUGGUAGAAAUCUAGGAUUGUCUAGAAGCUUUGUUGAAGAAUAACCAGCAAAUUCAAGGGAGCACUUAUGACUGCACACAACCGGGCCUCCAGCUCUCCCAUCUUUCAGUCAUUGCAGUGGACGUUGCAUGGAAAUACAUAUUAAAUUAUCUCUUUGAUUGAAAACAUAAUCAAGGCUCAUACAUCAACAGACAUGCACCAUAUUUUAAUGUAAUCACCUCAUAACUAAGUGGAGUGCAAGAAUAAAACAAAAUGUCAAUCUAUAUAUUUUUUUUUUUUUGUAAAAUUGUCCUGCUAUCAACAUAGAAUAAAUCCAUUACCAGAUGGUUCACCAGUACAGCAGAAAACAUGGGGUCUAAUGGUGUUCUGUUAGCAAACUCUUGUAAUUGAUUUAUUUUCUAAGCUACCAACUGUCUUGUUACUGUGUGUUUUUAGUUAUUCUUUCAGUAGAUACAUUUUAACUGCUUUUUGUUGUUGUUUCUGUUUUAAAAAGUCUGCAGUCAAUGUUUCAGAAUUCUACAGCAUUUUAAGAUCUGCGAUUUAGAAUGGAAAAGUUGCGAACAGGUUGAUAAUAAUAGAUAUUUCAAAGUUUCACUUCAAUAUAAUGUAAAUGUAUGUUUAAAUUAGGCAACCUCUAUGUUUAGUCACAAAAGUUCUGCAUAUUUUGAUAAUCUUUUAGAUAGUAGUGCAUUGAUUAAAUUAAUUCAUUAUGUCUGUUAAUCAAAUUAUUAAUUUGAUUAAUUGAGCCUAAAUAAGUUCCCUCAGUGAUACAGUCAUUAUCUUAGCCUGAUUUUAUGUUAACUGCUCAAUGUGGAGGUAAUUAAUACCCUGAAGAGAUGAUUAAUAUCCUGUUGCCCCAGGAAAUAUUUUAAAAUGUUUUAGAUCUAAAAUACAGAAAAUGUAGGACUCUUUUACAGGCAUUUCCAGUACAGGAAGAGGAUUAAGAGAAUGACAUUUUAUUUUGCACGUCUGUAUUGGCAUAAAGGUUAGAGACUUUCAAGUAGUUCUAAGUAAGAAAUAAACUUAUGUGUCAAUAUUUUAAAUUUAGAUUUUAGUUUUUGGCCAUAAAAUCUGCAAAAACUGUAUUUCAAUUAGACUUUUAUAUAUGGAAAGACUCAGACUCUCUCCAAAAUGAGUUAAUCUGUAGAAACUAUUCAAAGUACACACACACACACACACACACACAACCCAUUAUAAGUAUAAUAACCCCAAUGUCUUUAUGACCAACAAGCAAAUAACAAUGUGAACUUUCAAAUUACACAUUACUAAAAGAACUAG